CCUACGGGAGGCAGCAGUGAGGAAUAUUGGACAAUGGGCGCAAGCCUGAUCCAGCCAUGCCGCGUGCAGGAAGAAGCAUCUAUGGUGUGUAAACUGCUUUUGUACAGGAAGAAACACUCCCUCGUGAGGGAGCUUGACGGUACUGUAAGAAUAAGGACGGGCUAACUCCGUGCCAGCAGCCGCGGUAAUACGGAGGGUCCGAGCGUUAUCCGGAAUCAUUGGGUUUAAAGGGUCCGUAGGCGGUUUAAUAAGUCAGUGGUGAAAUCUGGUCGCUCAACGAUCAAACGGCCAUUGAUACUGUUAGACUUGAAUUAUAAGGAAGUAACUAGAAUAUGUAGUGUAGCGGUGAAAUGCUUAGAUAUUACAUGGAAUACCAAUUGCGAAGGCAGGUUACUACUUAUGGAUUGACGCUGAUGGACGAAAGCGUGGGGAGCGAACAGGAUUAGAUACCCUAGUAGUCCACGCCGUAAACGAUGGAUACUAGCUGUUCGGAGCAAUCUGAGUGGCUAAGCGAAAGUGAUAAGUAUCCCACCUGGGGAGUACGUUCGCAAGAAUGAAACUUAAAGAGUAGUAGCGUGNGAGAGCGACGAGACACGAGGAGGGAGAG
RNAcentral lists this ribosomal RNA (607 nucleotides) under uncultured bacterium. RNAcentral describes it as "bacterial SSU rRNA". It matches the Rfam family "Bacterial small subunit ribosomal RNA", at positions 338 to 952 of the family's 1533-position model. The record is from RNAcentral.